GAUGAACGCUAGCGGCAGGCUUAAUACAUGCAAGUCGUGGGGCAGCAGGGGUAGCAAUACCCGCUGGCGACCGGCAAACGGGUGCGGAACACGUACGCAACCUUCCUUUAACUGGAGAAUAGCCCCUCGAAAGAGGGAUUAAUACUCCGUAACAUAUUGAUAAGGCAUCUUAUUAAUAUUAUAGCUCCGGCGGUUAAAGAUGGGCGUGCGACUGAUUAGAUAGUUGGCGGGUAACGGCCCACCAAGUCUGCGAUCAGUAACUGGUGUGAGAGCACGACCAGUCACACGGGCACUGAGACACGGGCCCGACUCCUACGGGAGGCAGCAGUAAGGAAUAUUGGUCAAUGGACGCAAGUCUGAACCAGCCAUGCCGCGUGGAGAUUAAGGCCCUCUGGGUGUAAACU
This 404-nucleotide ribosomal RNA is filed under the name uncultured bacterium. Its description in RNAcentral is "bacterial SSU rRNA". It matches the Rfam family "Bacterial small subunit ribosomal RNA", at positions 28 to 431 of the family's 1533-position model. The record is from RNAcentral.